AAUCACGAGUCCCCGUCAUUCACGGCCCUGGCCGGCGGGACGGCAACCCUCUCACGCAGUAGUGGGGUGCUCCAGGUGAUGAUUCGGCCCCUCGGACACCCCGGCGGGCAAGUACCGCGU
This is a regulatory RNA element of Micrococcus luteus NCTC 2665, 120 nucleotides long. It matches the Rfam family "SAM (S-adenosyl methionine) riboswitch aptamer". Rfam says of the family: SAM-IV is a mRNA element that regulates gene expression via direct sensing of S-adenosylmethionine (SAM or AdoMet). SAM-IV riboswitches share conserved nucleotide positions with the previously described SAM-I riboswitches sequence analysis and molecular recognition experiments suggest that SAM-I and SAM-IV riboswitches share similar ligand binding sites, but have different scaffolds. NCBI's taxonomy places the organism in Bacteria, Bacillati, Actinomycetota, Actinomycetes, Micrococcales, Micrococcaceae. The record is from Rfam.